CCUUGGGGCCGCGAGUGGGAGCGGGAGCGGUUCUGCGGCCUCCUCGGGCUUCUUGGCCCUGGGCGGAGUGGGAUUGGGUGUCCCGGCUGUUCGCAGUGGCCGCGAGUGCGGCCGGACCUGGAGUAGUACCUGAGCCGCUCUGGCCGAGCAAGGCGCGGGGCCCCGGUCUACACCGCGCUGGACCCGGCUAUGCCGUGACGGAAUUCCCGAGGCCGUAGCGCCACGCGAGACGCGCACUGCUCGCCUCCCUUCCGCCAAGAUUCACAGAACACGGCAGAGUGGCCUCGGGAUCACCUGCCCAAGACACCUGCACGACCGGAAGUUGGGAGAAGAAAUUAAGGCCAUGAUGAUGAACGCAGCCUUUCUCGUUUAUUUCCAAUCCCACAACAAACCGGAGUCCAGGAACUCAUGGGAGGCCGAGGUGGGCGGAUUGCCUGAGUUCAGGAGUUCGAGACCAGCCUGGGCGACACGGUGAAACCCCGUCCCUACUAAAAUACAAAAAAUUAGCCGGGCGUGGCGGCACGCGCCUGUAGUCCCAGCUACUCAGGAGGCUGAGGCAGGAGAAUGGCUUGAACUCGGGUGGGGGAGGUUGCAAUGAGCCGAGAUCGCGCCGCUGCACUCCAGCCUGGGCGACAGAGCGAGACUCUGUCUCUGAAAAAAAACAAAACAAAACGAGAAGGCUUUCAAAAUUACUCUGCGGUACACUAAUUUAACAGAUUAGAUCACUUUCCAGGCUUUAAGUUGGCCUUUGUUCUACCCUUUUUUUAGUGUAUGAUAAAAGUUGUGUUGGUUCGUUGAUCAGCAUGCAAUGAACUCUGGCUCUUGUUAAUCAGGUGACUACAGUUUUGUCCUUACAUUUGUAUGUAUGUCAUGAGUGGUUUUGUAUGGGCAGGAGGUAAACAACGCACAUUUAAAUAUACUUAAUGAUUUAUCAUUCCAAUGUUUUCUGGUUGUUUUAGUCUUUCAUUUGUCUCUUGAACAAUCUGAAACAUCCCUAUUCUAAGGCUAAAAAAUUUCCUUUACAAACUUAGGUUAAACAUUCCUAAUCUGAAAUCCAAAAUGCUCUAAAAUUCGAAUUUUUUUGAGUACUGACGUGACCCCACAAAUGGAAAAUUCCACACUUGCCCUCAUGUGACACUGGGUGACAGUCAAGUCACAAUCAAGCCUGGUGUGGUGGGCACCUGUAGUGCCAGCUACUCGGGAGGUUGAGCAGGAGGAUUGCUUGAGCCCAGGAGUUUGAGUCCAGCCUGGACGAUAUAGCCAGACCCUGUCUGUAAAAAAACAAAAACCAAAACAAAAAAAACAAUGAAAACAUUUUUUUUUAAAACGCCAUCAAAACUUUGUUUCAUGCACAAAAUUAUUUAAAAUAUAUAAUAUAACCUUACCUUCAGGCUAUGUGGGUAAGGUAAGGUGUAUGUGAAACAAAUGAAUUUCCCAUUUAGACUUGGGUCCCAUCCCCAAGAUAUCUUAUUAUGUAUAUGCAAAUAUUCCAAAUCAAAAAUAUCUGAAAUACUUUUGUCCCAAGCAUUUCAGAUAAAGGUUACUCAACCUGUAAUAAAAACACUCAGUGCUUGCCUGAAGGAAAAACCAAGAAUUUGUCAUCCAUCCUUAAAUUUUUAUGACACCCUUUGUAAUCAGGAAACCUUUUAAUACCUAAGAAUAUAUUUGAUAUAUUCUGGUAUAUGUUUAUCAUUCUGAUGUUUAAUGUUCUAUGUUGGGCAUAUAUCAGUGUAAUAAAUACAUUAGAUCCAAA
RNAcentral lists this long non-coding RNA (1753 nucleotides) under Homo sapiens (human). RNAcentral's name for it is "non-protein coding PAXIP1-AS1:8". The record is from RNAcentral. Lineage: Eukaryota; Metazoa; Chordata; Mammalia; Primates; Hominidae.